CAAAAACAGGUCGACUAUAAAACCAACAACUCUGACGGUGGUGAGGGCGGCAGUUUGUGGAACGUUUUGUCCGAAAAGUGUCUGUUAUUUCGUCAACUUAAAAAAAAACACACAACAACAACAACAACAACCGUUGAACCGUUGAAAUCUCUGGGGACAACGUGGAAAAGGACUGUUGUGUGUGUAUCCUCCUGCAGUUGGACUCCUGAGGAGAGCAACAGGGGGAAUCUGCAGCUCAGAGAAAGGCCACUGUAUUGCAGGAUAUCUGCAGCCUCCGCUGUCAGUGUGAGGAUUCAGAUUGCUAUCGGCUCGGAAUACAAAAGAUCUGUGAGCUACUUUGAAUACAAAUCACAAGAAGUGUGAACGGCAGCGAAGGGGGCUCUUCAGUGAAGAAUGGCUAUUGAAAUGAGGCAGAAGAAUGCCAGAGAGAUAAAGAGAAGAAUGAACAGCGCUGUUCAGUCAACACCAAGUCCUCCAGUUCCAACUCAUCCCAGGCCCCCUCAGCAAGUCAGCACGGGAUCAUUUUUCAUAAUGAUACCUCUGUUCAAAUAUCACCUACUUUUCUGUCUUUUAAAAAAAAAAAAAAUCCAGCCUUUGUUGUAGAAGCUGACUUUGGGUGUUGCCCAGGCACACAGAGUUUUUGGGUAACUUAAAUACCAUUAAUCUCUUAAAGGUAAUCUCUUGUCUGAGCGCUGAAAAGUGGUUUGUGUAAAAGAACUGUAUGUGCUUGCCAAGCUAUUGUAGACAGAAAUUUGUGGGAGUGAGACAGUUUUUUGUUAUAUUUGUAUAUUUGUAGUGCUCUUUUUCACUGGCAGUUUGAUUUAGAGCAUCAAAACAUCCUCUACUUACUAAAGUAGUGUUUGUUUCAUCUCAUAUCGCAACCCCAUUACUAUUAUUCACACUG
This is a long non-coding RNA of Perca flavescens (yellow perch), 904 nucleotides long. RefSeq lists it as uncharacterized. The transcript has 3 exons. Lineage: Eukaryota; Metazoa; Chordata; Actinopteri; Perciformes; Percidae. The record is from RefSeq and is a predicted model, not a curated record.